Dromaius novaehollandiae (emu) is the source of this 5306-nucleotide long non-coding RNA. RefSeq lists it as uncharacterized. The transcript has 10 exons. NCBI's taxonomy places the organism in Eukaryota, Metazoa, Chordata, Aves, Casuariiformes, Dromaiidae. The record is from RefSeq and is a predicted model, not a curated record.
GACGUGCACCAGCCGCGGGUCCAGGUCCUCGAAGAAGUGCAUGUCCGACGUGUUGAAGCAGGGGUCGUCGUAGAAGUCGUCGGCGGCCGCGAAGGAGCACAGCGAGCCCUCCGUCAUCUCCAUGGGGCCCAGGACCUCCUUAAACUCAAGCCUCGGACUGCGUUUAUUCCGAAGCCUUGGAAGAGAUCGACUUCACCUCGUGAAGCGGCGUUUUGCUGAGCUUGUAAUCGCGUUGUAAUGGGAUUGCUUGUGCAAUAAGGAUUUGUUAUUUCAGGGUGUAGUUGAAAGGAAGCUGUGAAGGGGGAAGCAGAUUGUACUGCUGAGUACAAUGAUGCUGAGGAGCACAGAGGGACACUCAUUCUAUACACGACAUACAGAAGAAUAUAGGGGAAGUCUCAGUGCGGUUUCCUCCCUCCACACCCACCACCAUGAAGCUGAAUCAUUAACAGAAAGGGACUGGGAAAGCAUCUGAAUUGUAGUUGUCUGUCCUGUGUUACAAAAGCAACAGAAAUGGGAAGGCAGACAAGUUGGCUGAUUUAGCACUGAAACAGUUGAAGACGACUCACAUAAUCCAUUACAGCACACUGGAAACAGCAGUCUCCAGCUGAGUGGAAGAUAAAGGGGCCAUUGUUCAUAUCCUUUUUGGCAAGAACUGCCAUCAUAUAGAGUUAGGACUGCAUGUCUGACACAGAGUUUCUAGGCAUUGUAAUCAAGAACAAAAGCAUGUAUACUAAUACAACAGUGAAAUUAUAUCUGGAAAUCUAAUAGUGGAUGAAUGCACAGAUCUGAGGUACCAACAAUAUAAUGCAUGAGUUUAGCGUAAUUACUGCUGGUUGCAAGAGAAUGAAAGUUGCUUGCUACACACCUGGAUGGUUUUAGAACAGUAGUGGCCGCCUCUUUCUUGCAGAUACUUCAUCAAAGCUUCUGCAGCUUUUCUCUCCUCCACAGCUUGAUGCAGAAAGAACUUGGAAAUAUUUGGUAGGGCCACAUGCGACUGAUCAAAAAAUUCACCCUAAAAUUCAAAAAUUCAAAACAAAAUUCAACCAGAGUGUUAAAGCUUGCUGAAGAGGAGAUUCACUUGCAGCAGAACACAGCUGUAUCAGAACUCAGGAAACAUUUCCAAUGGAGCUUGUUCUACCAGCUUAAUCACUUUGAAGAUUUUCCUUCAAACUUCUGCACUAAAUGAAGUCAGUCAUCAUUGUCCCAAAUAAAAAAACCUCCAUACUUCUACUACAAUGCCUUCUGCCUUUUAAGACUGGACAGGUGACUGUAUUACUCAUGUUCUCUCUCAUUAGCAGUCAUUCUAGCAAGGUACUGCUUAUGAGAUUUGCAUUUAGGAAAGAAAAAUAACUACAGAGGCACAUAUCCAAGUCUUCCACCACCAUAAUCAAAGGCAUCAAGAUCAGCAACAUUCUCCCCUUCUAGGUAUUGGAACUGGUAAGGGCCAGAUCCUAUUAUUUUUAAUUAAAUAAGCAUAGUCCAGCUUCUUGCCGAUUGAGCCAGAAGCACAGAGAACACAGAAUUUAUCCCUUCAGGUCAGCAUUCCAGUGAAAAGUUGGCUUUUAAAGGUAUGAGAAAGAUGAGGCAAAUACCAAAGGACAAAAGAACAAUUCUGCAUCAGUUUAUCAGCUCCUUUAUGCAUAAUGCUAUUCCAGUAGAAAGAACAUUAAAGGUAUACACAGUAUAGCUCAGUAGCAGUACAUAGCUCAUGCCUAAGAAGACUUCAGAAGUGUUAAAAUCCUAAACCCACUGUAGGCCUUGUUCUAUUUUUCUAUAUGGGAAAGUAACAACUUUCAUCAGUACAAGAUGAACUGUGCUAAUACAUCUGUCAGCUUUUCUGUUGGAUGAAUCUUAUGCAUGGUGUGGCAGGCUGAUCCUAGCUCCCUGCCUGCACUAUGGCAAACAGAAUAAAGAGAAUGUGCUAGAGAGACAGAUAGCAGUGGACGGCCUCCAGGCUGCACAGAGGGGUUCAACACUGGCUCUGCACAACUUUGAUAUCAAAGGCAGUGAGAGGCAGCAGCUGGGAAUAUGCCAAGAGCAGAAUUGAGGGAGCUACAAUAUAUCAAUCCACUGGUUCCCUAAACACACAUAGGCAAUACAGCACAGCCUUUGCCUCUUGGGCAGACUCUGGAGUACUGCAUAUUAAACUGCUGGCUUGUAGCCUGUCCAGGAGGAGUAGAGAACAAGUAUGUGCAUUUCAUAGAUUUUUCUGCUCCUGGCUGUCCUCCCCUUUCAUUUAUUAUUGUGAACAAAUAAAAAUACUUGUGUUUCAUCUAUGUUGCUCAUCUGUUUAGAAAGUGAGAAAAAGUUAUAUAUACAGUAUGAUGUGUUUAUGUUUUUCUCUUAUAUUUUGAUGACCAUUUUGGAUACCCCAAACCAUUUAGGAGAAAGUAAGUACUGCAGUGUUCAUUGAAAAUAUUCAAUGUAAUAGCUGCAUAAUAUUUUUCCUUGAAGUCAUUAAUUCAUAUUUCUGUUGACAGAAGAAUCAAGACUGAAUGUUUUAUGAUGAGUUCCUCAGUGCGAGUGUGCUGCAGGCCUGCUAGAACCCAAGUCACCAUACCUGCAUAAGUGUUAAGCUGCUGCCGCAACUGCAGAGCCCCAGCGCGCCAGCGUGCUCGUCCUCUCGGAAGUCCCUUCCACCCCUCCUUCUGUGGCCCUGCUGAGACAGCUACGUCCCAUCAACCCGUUUGGGGAGCUGGGGUGUUCUUCAGUCAAAGCUAAGAGUCUCUGCAGGUACCCGGAGCACUUCUGACAUACAGACUGUCCUGGGAGUUAAAUGGUUGGAUUGACACCAUUUGCUACUUGGCUUGAUAAAGAAGAAAUUGAAUCCACAGAUGCCCCAGUGGUGAGCAGUGUGCAAAAUAUUUGCAGCUUCAAAGGGAAUCCAUGAGACUGCAGCAGCUAAGAAUAUACUUCUAGCCUUGGACGUUCCUGUGCAGUUCUGCAAAUGUCUCUUCACUGAUAAGGAAAUGGCUUUGUCUAGCCUAUACCUCAGUAUUUGUCAAGAAUUGAAGAUUUCACUCUGUUAAAGUUGACAGCUUAAAGCAUUCCAGGAGAUGGGGAGAUGUGACGGUACUGAACCUGAAUUACAACUGGGCACGUCUCAGAUUCUUUAGACAUCUUGGUCUUUGCUCAUAAAUAACAAAGUUCAUGAUCAAUGGAAAUAUGACCUUCUCAAACUAAGGAGACGCUGCAAGAAGGUGGUCACAGCACCUUGAUCCUAUGUAAGCUGACUUCAGAAUGAGCCACGGUGAGUGAAGCAGGAGGGCGGCCAGCAGCAGAUGUCUACAGAGCCAUGUCCUGAAGGCACCGAGGAGUUUUGUUCAAUUCAGAUCUUCAGGACUAAACUCACAGUACGUAACCUUUGGAAGGAAACAGGGCAGGAAAUUCAGACAAACUUGCCUGGAAAUGAUGUUAGUGGGCUUGAGGAGCAAGCCUGUGUUCACACAGAGAGCUUCAGAGCUUUGGGCACCAGUGGAAGGAAAUCAGAAAUGGCACAGAGAGAAGGAGAAAGCCCUUGAGAGGAAGGGGAGUCAGCUUUGUAAUGGCAGAACGAUGAUGAACAUGGAGCAAUUAAUUAGCUUUGACUACACGAUACUCAUUAUACAUCCAGAUUUGUAGGUUUAGCUGCCCCACUUGGGGCUAACUAUUAUUUUGCAUAAUAUGUUUGAAUUACAUCCACCAUAAGGGAAUGAAACAGAUACAUAAAGGUGCCAUACAUCAGUGUAGCAUAUCAAAUUGAGAAAGGCAUUUUUAGCAGUCUGUAUUGAACGCAGAUUUAAGCCAGCAUUGGAUUAUACAUUAAGUGUAUUGUUGUUAUGACAAAUUUGAAAGGAGCUAAAAGCAUUUCAAUUGGUGAAAAAAUGGAAUUCUGUUUCCUUUCCCACAGCCUGGAACAAAAAUGAGAUUGCCCAGCCAGGUUUACGUAGCCCAGCAUUGUACCUUGCGAGCACCCUGUGGUGAGUUUGAAUGGGACAUGUUGAGAACUGUUGUGGCACUGGGGAGGAAUGGGCUUAUAAGAUCUCUCCAAAUAAUUUAGGUCCUAGAUCUUUUUAAAUGGUGAUGUAUGUUAGGACUGGGAAAAGUUCUGGCUGACUCCAUGACUCCAUCCAGUAGAGGCCAAUGGCUUUUUUAUUUUACUGUUACAUAAUUUUCUGUAGAACGGAUUUGUCACCACAAACAUUAAAAGCAAUGUAUUUUUCCACUGCACCUUGCAGUGCUAGCUUGAAACUUGAGCUUUUUGGAAGAGUGGUUUACAGAGUGGUGUCAUUUUUUUUAAAAAGAAUCAGUUGCUUUAAGUGGUAAACUGGUAAGUGUCAACUGCAUUGCUCAUGAUUUAAACCUCAAAAGAAAUAGGUAUUUCAUAUGGCUAUUGAUGGGCUAUGAAAGAAUUGAUGGUGCUAGAACUGAAUCAGCUGCACUGAAAAGAUUGUGGCUCUGAAAAGUGGUCCUCAGGUGAGAACCCCUGGUUUUAACUUUGACUCCAGCCAUGCUUUGAGAAAGAGGCUGGACUAGAUAACAUCUCAACCUAAACUAUUCUGUAUUCAAUCUGAAAACAAUCCUUUGGUUAGGUGGAUUCUAGUUCAGAUAAUUUUAUUAAACCUCUCUAAAAUCCAGCUAACCUAGAUUCUGCGUUAUGAUUUUCCUUAGAUGUUGGUAUGUGUGUGUGUAUUUAUUUAUCAUCUGUGGUUUGGCAGCAUGAAAAAGAUCGCAAUUACAUUCCUUACAGAAAGAAUAUCUAAAAUUAAAAUGUGAAUAAUAUACCGAGAUUACUGAGCAAUGAAAUGCCUCAUGGUCCAAGGAUUGUAGCAUUGUUUUGAUGCUAACUAGUCUGACAUGCCACAUACACUAUUUUAUUCUUUCUGGUAAUAAGAAAAAUUAGUAUAUCAUUACUAAUGGAUGUUUUCUAAUAGGGAAGGUGGGUGUCUGACUGCACGACCCUUUAGUUUGGGGAUAAUUUUAUUUUAAAACCCUUUAAUUUUGCACAUACAAUAUGGAAAUAAAUUGAAAAGUGCAUAUAAUAUUCCACAUGUAUUCUGCAGUUAUGUAGCUUAAUAUCCAGACACAGUAAUUUGUAUGGACAUUUUCUCUGGCUGUUUUAUAGAUAGAGUUCCCCAUACAAGUCGUUUUCAGUCAGCUGCCUAAUCUUUAGUACAACAGCCAAAUUGGCGAGAUAGAAACAGGAUAGCUGGACUAAAAGGUGGGUGGAAAAUUAGCAGGACUACCAUUCUCUCAGCCGUACAAAGUCAAAGUGGCAGCUGGUUACUAGUGGCACCCACAAGGGUCAGACCUAGGGCAUAUUCAGU